UUCACUUCCUAUGUGGACUUUGCUGCUGAGUCAGUGUGAGACCUUGAACAAGUCUCUGUUUGUUUCGUACCAUUCAGAUUUCCUCGUCUGUAAACAUUAAGUAUCUACAUUCACUAAAAGUAGUUCUGAAUGAAUGUUAUUUAAUGGUGCCAAUGAUGUUGGAGGAUACCUGUGCAUCUCAUGCUGUGGUUACAGCAUCAAUUGUGAUGAAUAUAGGAUACUGAGUCCCUCCUAGAAAUGACUUCAGGAACUUCACCCCCCAACUCCACAAUCUGGGAAUGGCAGACAGAUUCAGCACCAGGAGAACAUCACAUAAAGGACAAGUGUGUAUGUUUAAAAAUGGCAAGUUUCGGCCUGGCAUGGUGGCUCACGUCUAUAAUCCCAGCACUUUGGGAGGCUGAGGUAGGUGAAUCACGAAGUCAGAAGGUCGAGACAAUCCUGACCAACAUGGUGAAACCUUGUCUCUACUAAAAAUACAAAAAUUAGCUGGGUGUGGUGGCUCACACCUGACUCGGGAGGCUGAGGCAGGAGAAUUGCUUGAACCCAGGAGGCAGAGGCUGCAGUGAGCCGAGAUUGCUCGCUGCACUCCAGCCUGGUGAGAGUGAGAUUCCGUCUAGAAAAAAAAAAAAAAAAAAAGACAAGUUUCUGCUUGACUUAUAAGACCUAAUCCAAUGUAUUUCUAAAUCAAAUAACAGAUAGAUGAAGGCAUUUUUAAAGCAAUUAUCUCAGGUUUUCAAAACAGGUUUAAGAAUGCGGUAUCAAAGCCUGGACUAGGUUUCAAUAUUUCAGUAUUUACAGAUGACGUCUCAGAAAACAAAGAAGCCGUUAUUGACAAGUGCUUUCCAGGCCAAAGGCAAGUGCCAGGGAGUAUAGUGACAGUGGAUUUGCUGCCAAACUGAUGAUUUUUUCUUGUUUUCUUUUCAGCCCUAUUUGUCCUGGGCUCGGAAUGUUGAUGCAGCUAUUUCUAUUUGGUUAUGGGUAAGGAAACGCUGCAUUUAUCACUGUGCCUACGUUUUCCUUCAAAGAGGCACGUGUAACUGUGUUCAAUUGCAACUGAGAGCGUAUUUUAAAAAGGAAUUUGGCUUCAAUGUCAUUAACUGACCUUAAAUAAAUUGCUUGUGAGAUUUUACAAUAUUAAACUUAGCUCAGAAGAAAUGCUGAAAUUAGUAAAUAAUGAUUUUUAAGAACUUAUAUAUGUCAUCUUUUAAAAAACCUGCUACUUCAAAUAACUUCAAAGUGAGGAAAAGCUUUUAUCAGCUUUAGAGUUAAAAUGCAGAUGUUAAUCGCAGGUUAGGAUCUUGAUAAUUUCUAAAAAGACAAAUGCAGCAUUAUUUGUAAAAGUACAUACAGUCGUGUACAGCAUAACAACGUUUUGUUCAACGAAGGACCACAUAUACCAUGGUGAUCCCUCAAGAUUAUAAUGGAGCUGGCAAACUCCUGCCAACUCAUCAGGCAGUCGCCACUGUAAGACUGUAGCAAAAUGCAUUAGUCCUGUGUUCGUGGUGAUGCUUGUGUACACAGACUUACUGCACUGCCAGUCAUAUAAAAAUACAGCACAUACAAUAAGGUAUAGCACAUAAUACCUGACAAUGAUAAUAAAUGAUUAGGUUACUAGUUUAAUAUGCUAUAGUUUUUAUUGUUAUUUUAGAUUGUACUCUUUAUGUUAAUAUAUUAUUAAAAGGUCAGUUGUGAAACAGCUUCAGGCACUUCCUUCAGGAGCUAUCCAGAAAAAGGCAUUGUCAUCAUAGGAGAUGCCAGCUUAAUGCGUGACGUUGCCCCUGAAGACCUUCCAAUGGGGCAAGAAAUGUAGGUGGAAGACAGUGAUAAUGAUCCUGACCCCGUGUAGGUGUAGGCUAUUGUGUGGUUUGUGUUUUAGUUUUUAACAAAAAAGUUUAAAAAUUAAAAAAUUAAACAAUAUAAGAGCGCUUAUAGAAUACGGAUAUAAAAAGAGACAAUAUUUUUGUUCAGCUAUACAGUGGAUUUGUGUUUUCAGUGGAGUGUAAUUACAAGAGUCAGAAAGUUAAAACAAAGUGAAAAGUUUAUACUGUAAAAAAAGUUAUAGUGGGCUAAGGUUAAUUCAUUAUUGAUGAGAGAAAUUUUUUUGUACAUUUUGUGUAGUCUAAGUGUACAGUGCUUGUAAAGUCUGCAGUAGCAUACAGUAAUGUCCAAGGCUUUCACAUCCACUCACCACUCGCUCACUGACCCAGCCAGAGCAACUUCCAGUCCUGAAAGCUGCAUUCAUGACUCAAUCACCACAAUUGCAAUCAAAAGACGGCUUUAGUUGGAACCUGGAACGUGCUAAUCCUGUCAGGCAGCCUGUGAUUCUGGAAGUGAAGGAACAAAAAAAAAAAAAAAAAGGGAAAAUUUCACAUAAAAUUUCCAUAUGAGGAAGAAGAUGGAAACUUUUGUGUUGUGCGUUCAGUAAAACGGGCACUUUCUUAAGCAGGUGGCAAAGAAAGCCUGAGAAUCCGGCCUGACUUUUUCAUUUCAGAACCCUGCAUUUCCCACACAGAGGAGAUAGAGCACAGCCAUUGCAUGGUAGAUCCAGCUUGCUCUCACAGCCAUUGUGCAAAUAAACAUACAUGUGGCAAGGCAGUGCAGUUUUCAGUUGUUAAAAGUUCUGUCAUGCCACGAGAUGGAGCAAAGGAUAAACGCUGAUGUAAACAGGCAACAGGACUCUGACUCCACACCCCUGUCUGCACGGAGGAUGCUCAGUCCUUACACAACAAAAUGUGAGAUGCUUCCAGUCACCUCCUGGCCCUGACCCCUGAGCUCCGUGCUCACCCCACUGGAGGUCCUGGCAGUUCUCCGAGCAGGCUGUACCUGUCUGGGGUGAUCCUCUCCACUUAAUGUUAGACAUUAAGUUCCCUGUGAAAUCUGUUUUGACUCACUGAGGUUAUGAAUAUUUUAUCACAACUAUCAUCAUAUACUACCAAAUCUCCAAUUUUCUUAUCUCCAUUACUAGACUGUGAGCUCCCUGGAGGCUGGACCUGGGUUUGGCACCGAGUGGCACUCAUACAUACUUCUUGAAUAAGAGAAUGUAUGUACACAGUGGCAUGAAAUUGAUUUGAAUUUGUUGGUUUUCUUAAGUGCUAAAGUUGUAGACAGUUCAGUAAAAACUAUAAAGCGGUUACCCUGUAAACCAUGAGUACUAUUAAUUGGAACCUCCUUUCUUACAUAUCCACUUGUGUUUCUGUUAAUGUUUCCAAAAUAAAUAAAGAGCAGGCUAGAGGGAAACCUCCAGUCCUUAGAAACCACGGCACAAGAAUACAUCUGUAUUUGCACUCUGAGCAAGAGACUUCCUGUUGUUGUGUAUGUUUCAUUAAGAGAUCUGGGAAAAAUUAGCCUUGUACCAGGAUCUGAACUAUAGUUUGAAAGUGUUUAGUGGGUACCAAUGUUAAUGGCAUCAUUUUUGAAUGAUAUACAGGAUAUUUUUAAACACUUUCCUUCUGUUCCAUUUUUACACUUUCAUUAUGUUUGCCAGCAUUGGGGAAACCUGGAUUAGAAGCAUGUGCUGCUCUCAGACCUGGCCUACAGAGAAGAACUGACACAGACUUCCUUAGAUGUGUUGUCUUCCUGUCACUGGUGCAUUCCUUAUCAAUGUGAAUCCAAAAUUCUUAUCAAGUUAUCUUCAAUCUAUGCAAGGAAAAUAUUUAUCCCAAAGGAGGAUUUUCAGAAGAUGACACAUGAGGGGCAUUCAUCACAGUCAAGUCUUUUGUUUUGAAAUACGGAAUCUGCAUACCUACUGCUUUCCAAGUUUUGUAAAAAAAAAAGAAGAAAAAAGCAAAAUGCUCUGAGAAUUAUCUAAUUCAUUUUUGCAUAAAGAAUUUCCAUUUUCUAUUUUUCCGUUGUCUAAUUCACUUGCAUAAAGAAUUUUCUUUUUCAUGUUUCAAUUCACAUCUAACAAAUGUUAUCAUACUUUUUC
RNAcentral lists this long non-coding RNA (3925 nucleotides) under Homo sapiens (human). Its description in RNAcentral is "non-protein coding MANCR:22". Lineage: Eukaryota; Metazoa; Chordata; Mammalia; Primates; Hominidae. The record is from RNAcentral.